This is a long non-coding RNA of Macaca fascicularis (crab-eating macaque), 1909 nucleotides long. NCBI's taxonomy places the organism in Eukaryota, Metazoa, Chordata, Mammalia, Primates, Cercopithecidae. The record is from Ensembl.
AAAUGUGAGGAUGUGAUGCACAUCCAUCAGUGCAACUCGAGCUCCAUCCUCAUCUGAUUUCUAAGGUGCCGAUUUUCUGGAGGAACAGUCAUCAUGUUUUGAUUUAUCUGGGAGAAAAUUGUCAUGCCCAGCUACUGAAGAGGGCAAGGUUGUGACGUUCAAGUUUAGUUCUCAUACUAUUCUAUCUCCUCUUCUUUGUCGUCAGUCAAAAUGUGGUUUUUAAAGAAAGUCAUGCAGGUUAGAAAUAAUGUCAAAAAUAUUUAGGAAUUUAAUACCCUUUAAGUCAGAAGAUAAAACAAAUACUGAAGUAUUAGCUCUUCCUACACUUCGUGUUCCCCUUUAGCUGCCUGAAAAUCAAGAUUGUUCCUACUCAGAUCUUUUGAGUGGCUAAAACUUACGGAUGUGAAAAAUGAGAUUGAAUGAUGACUAUGUUUUCCUAUCAUUAUUACCUUUCCUCAAUACUAUUGGGCUACUACUGGGACUCUUCAGCACAAAAGGAAUAGGUCUAUGAUUGACCCUGAUUUUAAUUGUGAAAUUAUAUGAUUCAUGUAUUUUAUGAAUCAGAAUAACUUUCAAAUAAAAUAAAUCCAAGUAGGUUAAAAUGGAUUUCAUGACUUUCCCUCAGAAAAUGAGUAAUGGAGUCCAUGAUGUGCAAUGGUAAUUAUAAAUUGGUGAGGCUUGUUUGCAAAACGCCCACUAGUAAUAAGGCAACAGCCAAUAUUUAGAACUUUGUUCUUUACUGGAUUCACACUAACUUUCUCUAGUCUACUUCCAAUAUUAUUUAAUGUAACUGAUUGUAUAUAGUCUCAAGAAUGGUUAGUAGGCAUGAGUUCCUAGAGAACUGUCCAAGGGUUGGGAAAAUCCAAAUUCUCUUCCUGGUUCCAGCACUCAUUUUGUACAUAAACAUUAGGCAGGUUGCUUAACCUUUUUAUUUCAAACUCUCAACUCUAAAGUGCUAAUAAAUAAUCUCAGUUACCUUAUCUUUGUCACAGGGUGUUCUUUUUUAUGAAGAAAAAUUUGAAAAUGGUAAAAGCUAAGAUGCCUUUUAACUUCACAAGCAAACCUUUAACUAAUUAUGUAUCUAAAAGUCACCCCCCACAUACCAACUCAACUUUUUUCCUGUGAACACAUAAAUAUAUUUUUAUAGAAAAACAAAUCUACAGAAAAUAAAUCUACUGUUCUGUGAGCAGUAUGAUUUGUACAUGCCAUUGAAAAUUAUUAAUCAGAAGAAAAUUAAGCAGGGUCUUUGCUAUACAAAAGUGUUUUCCACUAAUUUUGCAUGCGUAUUUAUAAGAAAAAUGCGAAUUUGGUGGUUUUAUUCUAUUGGUAUAAAGGCAUUGAUAUUUUAGAUGCACCCACGUUUGUAAAAAUGUAGAGCACAAUGGAAUUAUGCUGGAAGUCUCAAAUAAUAUUUUUUCCUAUUUUAUAGUCAUGGAAGAGAUAAGCUAAAGAGAGGAAAAUAAUGAGAAAUGUUGGUGUGCUUUUCUAAGCAUUUAAAACGUAAUUGCCAAUUGAAAUCCUAAAUAUGUUUACAUGCCAUUAAGAUAUGAUUCUUGUAACAAUGUUAAAUUGAUUAUAAUGGGAUUGGGUUUGUUAUCUGUGGUAGUAUAUAUAUAUCCUAGUGUUCCUAUAGUGAAAUAAGUAGGGUCGAGCCAAAACUUUCUUUGUUUUGUACCUUAAAUUGUUUGAUUACAUCAUCAAAAGAAAUGAAAGGUAUGUAGAAUGGGUUCACCUGAUUACCUUUUUCUUUUGGCUUGGAUUAAUAUUCAUAGUAGAACUUUAUUAAAACGUGUUUGUAUUGUAGGUGGUGUUCGUAUUAUGCUUAUGACUAUGUAUGGUUUGAAAAUAUUUUCAUUAUACAUGAAAUUCAACUUUCCAAAUAAAAGUUCAACUUCAUGUAAUCCAAAAA